RNAcentral lists this long non-coding RNA (1507 nucleotides) under Takifugu rubripes (torafugu). RNAcentral describes it as "lncRNA (ENSTRUG00000029953.1)". Lineage: Eukaryota; Metazoa; Chordata; Actinopteri; Tetraodontiformes; Tetraodontidae. The record is from RNAcentral.
AACCCUGAACCCAAACAACCCGACCUCCAAGUUCAUGAUGAAGCUCACUUCAGGUCACUAAGAUAUGGCUGUGAGUAGAUAUGGUGUGUUUCAAACAGAAGUGGAGAAUAAUGAGUUAAUUCUUUCAAAUCGGGCCCAACCUUCACUGGUUAAAGCGAUGCCGUCCACGUUGUGCACCCGAGGGCUGUGGAAGAUGGAUGGCAGAAUGACAUGCUGGGGGAGGGGUGCUUUACAUCUGAAACUUUGAAGAGGCAUGUGUGGUCAUGUAGGUUUUAAAUGUCCUUUUUUAUUCCAUCCUAAUCAGUUCUAAGUCCGAUAAAUGUCCUUUAGCAACAGGUUACGUAUCUCUGACUUACAAGACUGUCAUAAAUUGCACCACUGCCCUCCAUGAUCCCAAUGUGUGCCUAUUCGGUUAUUAAGCAGUGACAUACGUGCCAAGGGCCAAGGGGCCAAGGCCAGGGCCAGGGCCAAGUGUGUCUCUCUUCAAGCCUCUGCUGUCUCACUAUCUGGGACUCCACUGUCACACAGAUGAGGAAAUGGCAGCAGUUACUAAUUCAUAUUUUUUAAUUAAUGGAAUUGAUGGAAUUCAGAUGCUUUUAAACCAUCAAUAAUUCCUGUCUGGUGAAAAAAAAAAGCGGUUGGAGAGCCAUUAGAUGAAAGUGUAUCUUUGGUCUUUAAACACAGGCUAGAAAUUUGGUUCUUUCUUCUGGUUCCUGUUUUUCCUCUACUACUCCCCCUCACUACCUGCACUACUGUCCUGAGGAGGGUGCGGAUGAUUAGUUGGCAUGUCAGCGCAUCUGCAAGUCAUUCCUAAUCCCCUCAGCUACUUAAACCUCCCCGUGAAGCUAAUUAACUUUUGGUUCUCUUUACAUCGCAGGGCUGGCACAUAUCAGACUGAAAGGAAAAUCCUGUCUGCACUCUACUGAGAAGUUGAGGGUUCUUGGUUCAAACCCCAGUGCGGAAAAAUCAUAGAGGGUUUUCUGGUAAUCAGGGAAGCUUCAAAGCACAGAACAUGGUACUGAACCCACAAAUGGGCACAUAGAGCCCUGUGAUGAAUCGGUGACUCAUCCAGGGGUGGACCCUGCCUUCGCCCAUAUGCCCCCCCCCCCCCCCCCCCCUCUUCCUGUGUGCGCUAGAGGAAUAAAGAUUAUCAAUUCUGCUGUGAUCCAGAAUAAACUCCCCUUUCACUGAAUUCUCAUCCACCUUUCAUGUCUCUUUACUAAAACCACUACCAACAGUCUUCUCCCCCCCGGUUCAUUGAUAACCUAACCUCCAUACUCUCUAUCUGGAUAAUUGGUGACAAUUGUGUAGUUAAAAACUACCUGUGGAGUCAUCCUGUUGCAAGGUACUUGCAUUCCCUUUCAGUCUUUUGAGUUGAGGCUUCAUGCAGAGUUUUAUUGCUUAGAAUACUUCUUGUCAUCCAUUAGUGUUUGAGUCCCUCACAACCUCACCUCUAGCUUCAAACUUGUCCAAAAGGUGUUGGGGGCACAGUUACUGGAAAAGCUAC